AGGAUAAUAGUUAAAUAUAACAUUUAAUUUGCAUUUAAAAAGUAUUGAUUAUUCAAUUUAUCUU
Molecule: transfer RNA, 64 nt
Filed under: Neocrepidodera brevicollis
Lineage: Eukaryota; Metazoa; Arthropoda; Insecta; Coleoptera; Chrysomelidae
Description: tRNA-Ala
Source: RNAcentral